Molecule: ribosomal RNA, 439 nt
Filed under: uncultured bacterium
Lineage: Bacteria
Description: bacterial SSU rRNA
Rfam family: Bacterial small subunit ribosomal RNA
Source: RNAcentral
CCUACGGGGGGCAGCAGUGGGGAAUAUUGCACAAUGGGGGGAACCCUGAUGCAGCGACGCCGCGUGGGUGAGGAAGUACUUCGGUAUGUAAAGCCCUAUCAGCAGGGAAGAAAAUGACGGUACCUGACUAAGAAGCCCCGGCUAACUACGUGCCAGCAGCCGCGGUAAUACGUAGGGGGCAAGCGUUAUCCGGAUUUACUGGGUGUAAAGGGAGCGUAGACGGCGUGCCAAGUCUGAUGUGAAAGGCCGGGGCUCAACCCCGGGACUGCAUUGGAAACUGGCAUGCUGGAGUGCCGGAGGGGCAAGCGGAAUUCCUAGUGUAGCGGUGAAAUGCGUAGAUAUUAGGAGGAACACCGGUGGCGAAGGCGGCUUGCUGGACGGUAACUGACGUUGAGGCUCGAAAGCGUGGGGAGCAAACAGGAUUAGAUACCCGAGUAGU